RNAcentral lists this ribosomal RNA (398 nucleotides) under uncultured Choricystis. Its description in RNAcentral is "partial small subunit ribosomal RNA". It matches the Rfam family "Eukaryotic small subunit ribosomal RNA", at positions 30 to 432 of the family's 1831-position model. The record is from RNAcentral. Lineage: Eukaryota; Viridiplantae; Chlorophyta; Trebouxiophyceae.
GCUUGUCUCAAAGAUUAAGCCAUGCACGUCUGAGAAUAAAGAGUUUUCUCUGAAUCUGCGAAUGGCUCAUUAUAUCAGUUAUAGUUUAUUUGAUAGUCCUUUACUACUUGGAUAACCGUAGUAAUUCUAGAGCUAAUACGUGCGUAAAUCCCGACUUCUGGAAGGGACGUAUUUAUUAGAUAAAAGGCCGACCGGGCUUGCCCGACUCGCGGUGAAUCAUGAUAACUUCACGAAUCGCAUGGCCUCGUGCCGGCGAUGUUUCAUUCAAAUUUCUGCCCUAUCAACUUUCAACCGUAAGGUAGUGGCCUACGGUGGUGGUAACGGGUGACGGAGGAUUAGGGUUCGAUUCCGGAGAGGGAGCCUGAGAGAUGGCUACCACAUCCAAGGAAGGCAGCAGG